UGAACGCUGGCGGCGUGCUUAACACAUGCAAGUCGAACGGUAACAGAGGAGCUUGCUCCUGCUGACGAGUGGCGCACGGGUGAGUAAUGCAUAGGUAACGUGCCCCUUAGUCCGGGAUAGCCACUGGAAACGGUGAUUAAUACCGGAUACUCCUUCUCUAUUAAUUAGAGUCGGGAAAGUUUUUCGCUAAGGGAUCGGCCUAUGUUGUAUCAGGUAGUUGGUAGGGUAAUGGCCUACCAAGCCUAUGACACAUAGCGGGUCUGAGAGGAUGAUCCGCCACACUGGUACUGAGACACGGACCAGACUCCUACGGGAGGCAGCAGUGGGGAAUAUUGCACAAUGGGGGAAACCCUGAUGCAGCAACGCCGCGUGGAGGAUGACACAUUUCGGUGCGUAAACUCCUUUUAUAUAAGAAGAUAAUGACGGUAUUAUAUGAAUAAGCACCGGCUAACUCC
This 455-nucleotide ribosomal RNA is filed under the name uncultured bacterium. RNAcentral's name for it is "bacterial SSU rRNA". It matches the Rfam family "Bacterial small subunit ribosomal RNA", at positions 30 to 504 of the family's 1533-position model. The record is from RNAcentral.